This 579-nucleotide ribosomal RNA is filed under the name uncultured bacterium. RNAcentral's name for it is "bacterial SSU rRNA". It matches the Rfam family "Bacterial small subunit ribosomal RNA", at positions 8 to 594 of the family's 1533-position model. The record is from RNAcentral.
AGAGUUUGAUCCUGGCUCAGGAUGAACGCUGGCGGCGUGCCUAACACAUGCAAGUCGAGCAGAAGCUCUUGACUGAUCCUUCGGGUGACGGAUAGAGCGGAAAGCGGCGGACGGGUGAGUACGCGUAGGCAACCUGCCCUUCACAGAGGGAUAGCCUCGGGAAACCGGGAUUAAAACCUCUAAUGCCACGAAGAGACAUCUCUUUGUGGCCAAAGAUUUAUCGGUGGAGGAUGGGCCUGCUCUGAUUAGUUAGUUGGUGGGGUAACGGCCUACCAAGGCGACGAUCAGUAGCCGACCUGAAGGGUGAUCGGCCACAUUGGAACUGAGACACGGUCCAAACUCCUACGGGAGGCAGCAGUGGGAAUAUUGCACAAUGGGGGAAACCCUGAUGCAGCAACGCCGCGUGAAGGAAGAAGGCCUCGGGUCGUAAACUUCUGUCCUUGGGGAAGAAACAAAUGACGGUACCCUUGGAGGAAGCCCGGCUAACUACGUGCCAGCAGCCGCGGUAAUACGUAGGGGGCAAGCGUUAUCCGGAAUUAUGGGCGUAAAGAGUACGUAGGCGGUUCUUUAAGCGCAGGG